CAUCUCAGUACCUGUAGGAAAGAAAAUCAAUUGAGACUCCCUGAGUAGUGGCGAGCGAAAGGGGACGAGCCUAAACCGGUCCAGUGUAAGCGUGCAAGCGUUGCUGGAGUGGGGUUGUAGGGGUUUCUGUAGGUGUUUUUUGCACAGACACCGGGAAGUGACAAAGCGCUGUCGUAGGAGAGCCGGGUUGGAAAGCCGGGGCAAAGAGGGUGACACCCCCGUAUCCGAAACGAGAGCGCCUUCCUAUGAGACACCCUGAGUACCGUGGGGCACGUGGAACCCCGCGGGAAUCUGGGAGGACCAUCUUCCAAGGCUAAGUACUACCUGGCGACCGAUAGUGAACUAGUACCGUGAGGGAAAGGUGAAAAGUUCCCCGAGAGGGGAGUGAAAUAGAACCUGAAAACCGUGUGCCUACAAACAGUGGGGAGCCGCAAGGUGACCGCGUACCUUUUGCAUAAUGAGU
This 463-nucleotide ribosomal RNA is filed under the name uncultured bacterium. Its description in RNAcentral is "bacterial LSU rRNA". It matches the Rfam family "Bacterial large subunit ribosomal RNA", at positions 199 to 620 of the family's 2925-position model. The record is from RNAcentral.